Anguilla rostrata (American eel) is the source of this 1981-nucleotide long non-coding RNA. RefSeq lists it as uncharacterized. Lineage: Eukaryota; Metazoa; Chordata; Actinopteri; Anguilliformes; Anguillidae. The transcript is spliced from 3 exons. The record is from RefSeq and is a predicted model, not a curated record.
UCAGUACCUGCGUCAAAAGCAACUGUUAUGCCAUAGGGGGUUGAGAGCGAGGCAGGGGUUGCAGAAGUGGUCUGGUCUGCCUGGGGCCCGAGCAAGCAUUUAAUCUGGCCCUGGUUGUAACUUGUGCCCACAGCUAGAAAAUAGGAUUGAGGGAACUCGGGAGCGAGACACAGCCCCAAAAAAAAAAAAAAAAAAAAACGCGGCAUCGUCUACAACUUCGCUGCAGCUUCUCGCGCUCAGACUUCGCCCCAGUGGGAUUCCCUUCUGAGAUCUGCAAACCGACGCCAUUUUUAGUUUUGAGUCCACGCCAUUAGCGAGUCCUCCAGAACAACGAGAGCUUUCGGCUCAGCUCUGCAGAACACAGCGAGCAGAGACAGCGUCGGGCAGCCUGCGUUUCGAACGGCACCCGUGGAAACCUACACCCCUCCUGAACCUACAGAGGACUUUUUUCGGUGAAGUCUAUGAAUAAAUCCAUCUCCUGUAAAAGCUCCGUGGUCAGACCAGAGCCUGAAAAUCUGUAAACAAGGCAGAGAGGGACGACUCCGUGACACAGACAGCUUGAUCUGACCUUUCGUUCCGCGGCACUCUGGGAACAUUGGGAGCAUCGAUCCAAUCCGGGGUGUGCCGACGGUCCUGUCUACCGCAUGUCAGCCAUAAAUGACAAGUGAUACCGGGGCAAAGUCUCUGGAUGUCUACUGGGGGGGGGCGGGGGCGAAGAAGGAGAGGGGACAAGGUAAGAGCAAUGGUUGCUAUGUCCUCACUCUAAGUGGGAGUUUUUUUUUUCAUGCGAUAAUAACCAGGCAGUGGUAACCCUUGGCUACGUGGGAGACCUGCUGUGUUCCAGCGCUGAAACUGAGCUUCCUGUGAGUGCAUCAACACCUAAUUCUUAUGCCACUGAAGAAAAAGUUAAGAAAAAAUUGCGAAGUCAGUCUAGACCCUUAUGAUUCAAUAUAUCCAAGUUCAGCAUGUGUCAAUAUCCUGCUCCAUUAUGGCUUGAUCGAGGGUCCAUACCAGCGGUGAAGAAUCGUUGCGAAUUCAGACGUAGUCCUGCACAGUCCGAGGCCAAACGGGCCUGGCUGUGCUAAAACAUGCAUGCAUCUGAAGGCUACUGAAAACAAACAGUCUUCACAUGCAUGACUGAAGAUACGGUUUUCCCCAAAUUCACACGUUUGAUGGAUUGACUACACCGAGAUAGUUGGCUUGCUAGUAACACAUAUUUAACAAGUUAAUUUGUUUUGUGUUUAAGUUUUUUUUAUUAGUUUAUAUAAAUUACAGGAACAGGAAGAGAAAAAAACAAAGCUCGUCCAAUUUCAUAUAGUAAUAGAUUAUCCUUAGAGGUCAAGAAACUACUGACUUGUAUGAUUCACAAUUAUACACCACUGACUCCGACUCUGGGGAAAAACAUAGUUAAUGAAUACCUCAGCUUGGCUCUCUCUUUGUUCUCUCGUGAUCUAUCAUGUUCUCAUACUGUAGUGUGUAGCUGUGUCCUGCGUCUCUCCAUCCAUUUCAAGCCCAAGAUACAGUGCCUUCUACAGGUCAUCCAUUUAAAAAAAAUGUCUGUGGCUGGAAACGGUUGUCCAUGUGGAACAGGAACUGUAGUGAUAUAGUAUAGUUUAGGUUUCCUUCCUGUGUGGAAUUGGUAACAUGGAUAAAGCUCUUGGUCAAGGCAUGUUCAUCUCGCUGUAUUAGAUCUUUUUUUUUUUUGACAUCUUGCCUCGGCUUCUGAAUUCCAGAACACUGAAAGGACACUAAAUCUACCCAGUAUUCCCUAUUAUCAAUGUGAAAAUGUACUGUUUGCUGGCAAAUUGGUUAAUGUUAUGGAAUUCCUCAGAGCUUCUUCAGGCUCUAAGACCUAAUGUGUUUGCCAUUUAGCUGAAAUAAGCAGUGAAAUAUUGAGCUAUGGUUAAAUAGGUUACAGUACAAUCCAAUACUCAGUGCCUUCUACUCACAGUCCGCCUCCACAUAAAUGUUUUUCUUUCUC